Molecule: ribosomal RNA, 463 nt
Filed under: Epinephelus fuscoguttatus (brown-marbled grouper)
Lineage: Eukaryota; Metazoa; Chordata; Actinopteri; Perciformes; Serranidae
Description: partial 16S ribosomal RNA
Rfam family: Bacterial large subunit ribosomal RNA
Source: RNAcentral
CGAAAGUAUAAGAGGUCCCGCCUGCCCUGUGGACUAUAUGUUUAACGGCCGCGGUAUUUUGACCGUGCGAAGGUAGCGCAAUCACUUGUCUUUUAAAUGGGGACCUGUAUGAAUGGCAUAACGAGGGCUUAACUGUCUCCUCUUUCAAGUCAAUGAAAUUGAUCUCCCCGUGCAGAAGCGAGGAUAGAUACAUAAGACGAGAAGACCCUAUGGAGCUUUAGACACUAAAGCAGAUCAGUAUUAAUACCCUGAACAUAGGCUACGAAUAAACUGACCCCUGCCCUAAUGUCUUUGGUUGGGGCGACCGCGGAGAAAAAUAAAACCCCCGCAAGGACUAAAUGUACUACAUUCACAAACAAGAGCGACAGCUCUAACUAACAGAACUUCUGACCAAUAAGAUCCGGCAAUGCCGAUCAAUGAACCGAGUUACCCUAGGGAUAACAGCGCAAUCUCCUCUUAGAGC